GAUGAACGCUGGCGGCGUGCCUAACACAUGCAAGUCGAGCGGUAAGGCCCUUCGGGGUACACGAGCGGCGAACGGCUGAGUAACGCGUGGGAAUCCACCCCAAAGUGAGGGAUAAGCAUCGGAAACGGUGUCUAAUACCGCAUAUGGUCCUCGGAUUAAAGGAUUUAUCCGCUUUGGGAGGAGCCCGCGUCCGAUUAGGUAGUUGGUGAGGUAAUGGCUCACCAAGCCUACGAUCGGUAGCUGGUCUGAGAGGAUGAUCAGCCAGACUGGAACUGAGACACGGUCCAGACUCCUACGGGAGGCUG
RNAcentral lists this ribosomal RNA (305 nucleotides) under uncultured Candidatus Saccharibacteria bacterium. RNAcentral describes it as "bacterial SSU rRNA". It matches the Rfam family "Bacterial small subunit ribosomal RNA", at positions 28 to 351 of the family's 1533-position model. The record is from RNAcentral. Lineage: Bacteria; Candidatus Saccharimonadota.